This 403-nucleotide unclassified non-coding RNA is filed under the name soil metagenome. RNAcentral's name for it is "partial contains 5.8S ribosomal RNA, internal transcribed spacer 2, and large subunit ribosomal RNA". The stretch from base 1 to 122 matches the Rfam family "5.8S ribosomal RNA", at positions 35 to 154 of the family's 154-position model. The record is from RNAcentral.
GAUGAAGAACGUAGCAAAAUGCGAUACUUGGUGUGAAUUGCAGAAUCCCGUGAACCAUCGAGUUUUUGAACGCAAGUUGCGCCCGAAGCCUUUUGGCCGAGGGCACGUCUGCCUGGGCGUCACGCAUCGCGUCGCCCCCCACAAUUCUCCGUAAAAGGAACAUGUGUUUUGGGGGCGGAUAUUGGUCUCCCGUGCUCAUGGCGUGGUUGGCCGAAAUAGGAGUCCUUUCGAUGGACGCACGAACUAGUGGUGGUCGUAAAAACCAUCGUCUUUUGUUUCGUGCUGUUGCUCGCAAGGUAAACUCUUUAAAAACCCCAAUGUGUCGUCUCUUGACGACGCUUCGACCGCGACCCCAGGUCAGGCGGGACUACCCGCUGAGUUUAAGCAUAUCAAAAGCGGAGGA